GACCCGUAAUCCGGGUUGCGGACAGUGUCUGGUGGGUAGUUUGACUGGGGCGGUCUCCUCCUAAAGAGUAACGGAGGAGCACGAAGGUUGGCUAAUCCUGGUCGGACAUCAGGAGGUUAGUGCAAUGGCAUAAGCCAGCUUGACUGCGAGCGUGACGGCGCGAGCAGGUGCGAAAGCAGGUCAUAGUGAUCCGGUGGUUCUGAAUGGAAGGGCCAUCGCUCAACGGAUAAAAGGUACUCCGGGGAUAACAGGCUGAUACCGCCCAAGAGUUCAUAUCGACGGCGGUGUUUGGCACCUCGAUGUCGGCUCAUCACAUCCUGGGGCUGAAGUAGGUCCCAAGGGUAUGGCUGUUCGCCAUUUAAAGUGGUACGCGAGCUGGGUUUAGAACGUCGUGAGACAGUUCGGUCCCUAUCUGCCGUGGGCGCUGGAGAACUGAGGGGGGCUGCUCCUAGUACGAGAGGACCGGAGUGGACGCAUCACUGGUGUUCGGGUUGUCAUGCCAAUGGCACUGCCCGGUAGCUAAAUGCGGAAGAGAUAAGUGCUGAAAGCAUCUAAGCACGAAACUUGCCCCGAGAUGAGUUCUCCCUGAGACUUAGAGUCUCCUGAAGGAACGUUGAAGACGACGACGUUGAUAGGCCGGGUGUGUAAGCGCAGCGAUGCGUUGAGCUAACCGGUACUAAUGAACCGUGAGGCUUAACCUUACAACGCCGAAG
Molecule: ribosomal RNA, 713 nt
Filed under: Salmonella enterica subsp. enterica serovar Kentucky
Lineage: Bacteria; Pseudomonadati; Pseudomonadota; Gammaproteobacteria; Enterobacterales; Enterobacteriaceae
Description: partial 23S ribosomal RNA
Rfam family: Bacterial large subunit ribosomal RNA
Source: RNAcentral